GACUUGUACAAAUCAUUGUAAAAAGAAAAUCCGUUGGCUUUAUAGACCAUGAGGGUUCAAGUCCCUCUACCCCCA
This 75-nucleotide transfer RNA is filed under the name Lepidogyna hodgsoniae. Its description in RNAcentral is "partial tRNA-Leu". The record is from RNAcentral. Lineage: Eukaryota; Viridiplantae; Streptophyta; Jungermanniopsida; Porellales; Lepidolaenaceae.